AUCUACCCUUGGUCAGGUUGAAGUUCAGGUAACACUGAAUGGAGGACCGAACCGACUUACGUUGAAAAGUGAGCGGAUGAACUGAGGGUAGCGGAGAAAUUCCAAUCGAACCUGGAGAUAGCUGGUUCUCUCCGAAAUAGCUUUAGGGCUAGCCUCAAGUGAUGAUUAUUGGAGGUAGAGCACUGUUUGGACGAGGGGCCCCUCUCGGGUUACCGAAUUCAGACAAACUC
RNAcentral lists this ribosomal RNA (230 nucleotides) under Staphylococcus aureus. RNAcentral's name for it is "partial 23S ribosomal RNA". It matches the Rfam family "Bacterial large subunit ribosomal RNA", at positions 728 to 956 of the family's 2925-position model. The record is from RNAcentral. Lineage: Bacteria; Bacillati; Bacillota; Bacilli; Caryophanales; Staphylococcaceae.